RNAcentral lists this ribosomal RNA (465 nucleotides) under uncultured bacterium. Its description in RNAcentral is "bacterial SSU rRNA". It matches the Rfam family "Bacterial small subunit ribosomal RNA", at positions 338 to 795 of the family's 1533-position model. The record is from RNAcentral.
CCUACGGGUGGCAGCAGUGGGGAAUAUUGCACAAUGGGCGCAAGCCUGAUGCAGCCAUGCCGCGUGUAUGAAGAAGGCCUUCGGGUUGUAAAGUACUUUCAGCGGGGAGGAAGGCGAUAAGGUCAAUAACCUUGUCGAUUGACGUUACCCGCAGAAGAAGCACCGGCUAACUCCGUGCCAGCAGCCGCGGUAAUACGGAGGGUGCAAGCGUUAAUCGGAAUUACUGGGCGUAAAGCGCACGCAGGCGGUCUGUCAAGUCGGAUGUGAAAUCCCCGGGCUCAACCUGGGAACUGCGUUCGAAACUGGCAGGCUGGAGUCUUGUAGAGGGGGGUAGAAUUCCAGGUGUAGCGGUGAAAUGCGUAGAGAUCUGGAGGAAUACCGGUGGCGAAGGCGGCCCCCUGGAUAAAGACUGACGCUCAGGUGCGAAAGCGUGGGGAGCAAACAGGAUUAGAUACCCUUGUAGUC